Molecule: ribosomal RNA, 206 nt
Filed under: uncultured bacterium
Lineage: Bacteria
Description: partial 16S ribosomal RNA
Rfam family: Bacterial small subunit ribosomal RNA
Source: RNAcentral
AGAGUUUGAUCCUGGCUCAGGAUGAACGCUAGCGACAGGCCUAACACAUGCAAGUCGGAGGGGCAGCAUUUUUUGAAGCUUGCUUCAAAAGAUGGCGACCGGCGCACGGGUGAGUAACGCGUAUGGAACCAACCCGCGAACAGGGGGAUAACCCGGAGAAAUCCGGACUAAUACCGCAUGGUACUCUUUGCACAGAAGUGUGAAGA